UUAACUCAAAAUUGUAUGGAGUUGGAACGUUUGCCUAUGUUUGCGCUAGGGGCGCUGUUCCAAAAGCAUUCAAAUUUGAGUUU
This 83-nucleotide microRNA precursor is filed under the name Bombyx mori (domestic silkworm). Its description in RNAcentral is "mir-2807 microRNA precursor family". It matches the Rfam family "mir-2807 microRNA precursor family". Lineage: Eukaryota; Metazoa; Arthropoda; Insecta; Lepidoptera; Bombycidae. The record is from Rfam by way of RNAcentral.